AUACCUUUCUCGGCCUUUUGGCUAAGAUUAAGGGUAGUAUAUGUUCUUAUCAGUUGAAUAUUUGAUACGUAGGUCAAUGACCCACACGAUAUUAACUCUAUUUUUUUAGGGGAAGGCCCAAUAAGGUAGCUUGCUACCUGGGCUUUCACGCGUCGCCUUGGAUUUGCACUAUUUUCUCGGCCCGGUGCACCCCGU
Small nuclear RNA from Ipomoea triloba (trilobed morning glory), 195 nucleotides. RefSeq annotates it as U2 spliceosomal RNA. The record is from RefSeq and is a predicted model, not a curated record. Lineage: Eukaryota; Viridiplantae; Streptophyta; Magnoliopsida; Solanales; Convolvulaceae. The transcript has a single exon.